GAGUUUGAUCAUGGCUCAGAACGAACGCUGGCGGCAUGCCUAACACAUGCAAGUCGAACGAAGCCUUCGGGCUUAGUGGCGCACGGGUGCGUAACACGUGGGAAUCUGCCCUUUGGUUCGGAAUAACAGUUAGAAAUGACUGCUAAUACCGGAUAAUGACGUAAGUCCAAAGAUUUAUCGCCGAAGGAUGAGCCCGCGUAGGAUUAGGUAGUUGGUGGGGUAAUGGCCCACCAAGCCGACGAUCCUUAGCUGGUCUGAGGGGAUGAUCAGCCACACUGGGACUGAGACACGGCCCAGACUCCUACGGGAGGCAGCAGUGGGGAAUAUUGGACAAUGGGCGAAAGCCUGAUCCAGCAAUGCCGCGUGAGUGAUGAAGGCCUUAGGGUUGUAAAGCUCUUUUACCAGGGAUGAUAAUGACAGUACCUGGAGAAUAAGCUCCGGCUAACUCCGUG
Molecule: ribosomal RNA, 452 nt
Filed under: uncultured bacterium
Lineage: Bacteria
Description: bacterial SSU rRNA
Rfam family: Bacterial small subunit ribosomal RNA
Source: RNAcentral